RNAcentral lists this ribosomal RNA (1574 nucleotides) under Escherichia coli. RNAcentral's name for it is "partial 23S ribosomal RNA". It matches the Rfam family "Bacterial large subunit ribosomal RNA", at positions 1241 to 2797 of the family's 2925-position model. Lineage: Bacteria; Pseudomonadati; Pseudomonadota; Gammaproteobacteria; Enterobacterales; Enterobacteriaceae. The record is from RNAcentral.
CUGUAAGCCUGUGAAGGUGGCCUGUGAGGGUUGCUGGAGGUAUCAGAAGUGCGAAUGCUGACAUAAGUAACGAUAAAGCGGGUGAAAAGCCCGCUCGCCGGAAGACCAAGGGUUCCUGUCCAACGUUAAUCGGGGCAGGGUGAGUCGACCCCUAAGGCGAGGCCGAAAGGCGUAGUCGAUGGGAAACAGGUUAAUAUUCCUGUACUUGGUGUUACUGCGAAGGGGGGACGGAGAAGGCUAUGUUGGCCGGGCGACGGUUGUCCCGGUUUAAGCGUGUAGGCUGGUUUUCCAGGCAAAUCCGGAAAAUCAAGGCUGAGGCGUGAUGACGAGGCACUACGGUGCUGAAGCGACAAAUGCCCUGCUUCCAGGAAAAGCCUCUAAGCAUCAGGUAACAUCAAAUCGUACCCCAAACCGACACAGGUGGUCAGGUAGAGAAUACCAAGGCGCUUGAGAGAACUCGGGUGAAGGAACUAGGCAAAAUGGUGCCGUAACUUCGGGAGAAGGCACGCUGAUAUGUAGGUGAAGCGACUUGCUCGUGGAGCUGAAAUCAGUCGAAGAUACCAGCUGGCUGCAACUGUUUAUUAAAAACACAGCACUGUGCAAACACGAAAGUGGACGUAUACGGUGUGACGCCUGCCCGGUGCCGGAAGGUUAAUUGAUGGGGUUAGCGGCAACGCGAAGCUCUUGAUCGAAGCCCCGGUAAACGGCGGCCGUAACUAUAACGGUCCUAAGGUAGCGAAAUUCCUUGUCGGGUAAGUUCCGACCUGCACGAAUGGCGUAAUGAUGGCCAGGCUGUCUCCACCCGAGACUCAGUGAAAUUGAACUCGCUGUGAAGAUGCAGUGUACCCGCGGCAAGACGGAAAGACCCCGUGAACCUUUACUAUAGCUUGACACUGAACAUUGAGCCUUGAUGUGUAGGAUAGGUGGGAGGCUUUGAAGUGUGGACGCCAGUCUGCAUGGAGCCGACCUUGAAAUACCACCCUUUAAUGUUUGAUGUUCUAACGUUGGCCCGUAAUCCGGGUUGCGGACAGUGUCUGGUGGGUAGUUUGACUGGGGCGGUCUCCUCCUAAAGAGUAACGGAGGAGCACGAAGGUUGGCUAAUCCUGGUCGGACAUCAGGAGGUUAGUGCAAUGGCAUAAGCCAGCUUGACUGCGAGCGUGACGGCGCGAGCAGGUGCGAAAGCAGGUCAUAGUGAUCCGGUGGUUCUGAAUGGAAGGGCCAUCGCUCAACGGAUAAAAGGUACUCCGGGGAUAACAGGCUGAUACCGCCCAAGAGUUCAUAUCGACGGCGGUGUUUGGCACCUCGAUGUCGGCUCAUCACAUCCUGGGGCUGAAGUAGGUCCCAAGGGUAUGGCUGUUCGCCAUUUAAAGUGGUACGCGAGCUGGGUUUAGAACGUCGUGAGACAGUUCGGUCCCUAUCUGCCGUGGGCGCUGGAGAACUGAGGGGGGCUGCUCCUAGUACGAGAGGACCGGAGUGGACGCAUCACUGGUGUUCGGGUUGUCAUGCCAAUGGCACUGCCCGGUAGCUAAAUGCGGAAGAGAUAAGUGCUGAAAGCAUCUAAGCACGAAACUUGC